GGGGUUGAUUGGAUUUGACAGCAAGAUGAAAUGGUGGGUAAGCACGUCGGGAGCAGUGAAACCGGCCCGUAAAUCCCGGACACAAAACUAUAACUGGCGAAAAUUCUUACGCUCUUGCCGCCUAAUCGAAGUAUAGUAGAUUGGCCUAAUCCCGGCUCAAGGAGCUGGGACAAGACGCAUCGCGGAAGCCCUUGUCUUGAGGCUCGCCGAUUCUGAUGUGCAGCAAUUCGGGACUGGCUCGUAUUAGCCUCGUAAUGCGGGCGAGAUUUAGAGGAUAAGGCGUUGGUAGGUGGCUUUGAUCCGGCCAGCGCACGAAAACCAAGUCGGAGCUAAGCGUGUAGAAAGCUCAUGGUUUCCUUGUUUGGACCCGGGUUCGAAACCCGGCAGCUCCACAA
Molecule: transfer-messenger RNA, 395 nt
Filed under: Salinivirgaceae bacterium
Lineage: Bacteria; Pseudomonadati; Bacteroidota; Bacteroidia; Bacteroidales; Salinivirgaceae
Rfam family: transfer-messenger RNA
About the family: Bacterial tmRNA, also known as 10Sa RNA or SsrA, is named for its dual tRNA and mRNA-like properties.
Source: RNAcentral